GAUGAACGCUAGCGGCAGGCCUAAUACAUGCGAGUCGAACGGGAUCCAGAUCAAAGCUUGCUUUGGUCUGGUGAGAGUGGCGCACGGGUGCGUAACGCGUGAGCAACCUACCCUUGUCAGGGGGAUAGCCCGGCGAAAGUCGGAUUAAUACCGCAUGACAUCAUUGAGAGGCAUCUUUCGAUGAUCAAAGAUUUAUCGGACAAGGAUGGGCUCGCGUGACAUUAGCUAGUUGGUAAGGUAACGGCUUACCAAGGCUGCGAUGUCUAGGGGCUCUGAGAGGAGAAUCCCCCACACUGGUACUGAGACACGGACCAGACUCCUACGGGAGGCAGCAGUAAGGAAUAUUGGUCAAUGGACGGAAGUCUGAACCAGCCAUGCCGCGUGCAGGAAGACGGCCCUAUGGGUUGUAAACUGCUUUUAUACGGGAACAAACGUCGGUACGUGUACCGGUCUGAGUGUACCGUAAGAAUAAGGAUCGGCUAACUCCGUG
This 490-nucleotide ribosomal RNA is filed under the name uncultured bacterium. RNAcentral describes it as "partial 16S ribosomal RNA". It matches the Rfam family "Bacterial small subunit ribosomal RNA", at positions 28 to 507 of the family's 1533-position model. The record is from RNAcentral.